RNAcentral lists this ribosomal RNA (301 nucleotides) under uncultured bacterium. Its description in RNAcentral is "partial 16S ribosomal RNA". It matches the Rfam family "Archaeal small subunit ribosomal RNA", at positions 459 to 761 of the family's 1478-position model. The record is from RNAcentral.
CAGUAGCCACGGGAAAACCAGCACCUCGAGUGGUCAGGAGGUUUAUUGGGCCUAAAGCAUCCGUAGCCGGUUGCAUAAGUUUUCGGUUAAAUCUAUGCGCUUAACGUAUAGGCCGCCGAAAAUACUGUGCAGCUAGGGAGUGGGAGAGGUACACGGUACUCGAUAGGAAGGGGUAAAAUCCUUUGAUCUAUUGAUGACCACCUGUGGCGAAGGCGGUGUACCAGAACACGUUCGACGGUAAGGGAUGAAAGCUGGGGGAGCAAACCGGAUUAGAUACCCCGUAGUCCCUGUCUCUUAUACA